GUUCCAGGGUGGAAGGACCCCCAGCAUGGGUCUUUGGGGCAUUUCGGCAGUAGGUCCCAGAGCAGAAGGACUCCCCGCCGACGAAUUACC
This is a long non-coding RNA of Gopherus evgoodei (Goodes thornscrub tortoise), 90 nucleotides long. RefSeq lists it as uncharacterized. The record is from RefSeq and is a predicted model, not a curated record. The transcript is spliced from 3 exons. Lineage: Eukaryota; Metazoa; Chordata; Testudines; Testudinidae.